Molecule: long non-coding RNA, 983 nt
Filed under: Monodelphis domestica (gray short-tailed opossum)
Lineage: Eukaryota; Metazoa; Chordata; Mammalia; Didelphimorphia; Didelphidae
Description: lncRNA (ENSMODG00000041594.1)
Source: RNAcentral
CCAUGCUACACUGAGCAUGCCAUUACAUUACACAUUCAGUGUCCUGUCCUAAGAAUUUCACUUCUAGACAUUGCACAUGAAUUGUGUCCUGGUGUAUGUUAUCAUGCCUGUGUAUUGCCUUUGUCAAUUUUAGAAAGAAGUAAUGAAUCAUGUCUCCUUUGACUUCAGAGACGCUUGAAUUCCUUAAAACUGUGCCUCUUGUGAAUGGAUUUGGACCACACCAGGAUCCCUGAUGUGGAAGCCAGUGGGAUCAUCCUGGAAAGGGAUCUGCCCCUAUUUUGGAUAAUUCUCUCCAAACAUAUCUUCUUUUGAUUUCCUGCACUGGAUUCCCAAGUUCCUGUAGAAUCAUGGAACUUGAAGAGAUUUCAAGAAGUUCCCUCUUUGGUCUUUGCCCACAGGCAAGGAAACAACUAAAUCAUGUAACACUGGUCUGUAGAAUUGUUCUUAGACAUUUAACAUAGAUAGAGAUUCUAUGUUGGCUUUUGAUAGCUAAAAUUUUGCAGAAAUAUUUCCCUUAUCAUUAGAGAAUUAGUUCUGGGUUGCAAAUCAAUAUCUAUCAAUUUUAAAAAGAAAAUCUUAAGUUCUUAUUAUGGUAGUCUCUAGGUAUACAAAGACAAAAUCACAAUGUCUGGUCUCAAGAACUUGCAUUCUACCAAGGAGAUGUAACAUAUAUACAGAUAAGAAAUUUUAAGGUAGGGAAAGAAGGGGACACAAGAGAGAUCCGAGGACUCUGAAACUGUUUGAGGAAGAAGAAAAUGUUAAGAACUAAUAACACAAAAUCUUCACCAAAUAGUUGACACCAAUGAAUAUCCUUGAAUGAUGGCAAAUGAUCUAAAGGGCAGAAAUGAGAAGGGAAUAUAUUCUGAGGAUUAGGAAUAGUUUUGGAAACUACCUGGAGGUAGUAGAUGAUAGCUGGAGUAUAGAGUGUACAAAGGGAAGCAAUAGGAAAUAAAGUUGGAAGAGCAGGCUGGAAAUUUAUUAAG